UCCAAUUUGGCAGAAAAAUGCAAUAAAUUUAGAAUUUAUUUAUGAAAAGUUCAAUUGGAA
RNAcentral lists this transfer RNA (60 nucleotides) under Bothriocroton undatum (goanna tick). RNAcentral describes it as "tRNA-Leu". Lineage: Eukaryota; Metazoa; Arthropoda; Arachnida; Ixodida; Ixodidae. The record is from RNAcentral.